This 357-nucleotide ribosomal RNA is filed under the name Acinetobacter baumannii. RNAcentral's name for it is "bacterial SSU rRNA". It matches the Rfam family "Bacterial small subunit ribosomal RNA", at positions 570 to 928 of the family's 1533-position model. The record is from RNAcentral. Lineage: Bacteria; Pseudomonadati; Pseudomonadota; Gammaproteobacteria; Moraxellales; Moraxellaceae.
GGUAGCCGGCUUAUAAGUCGGAUUGGAAUCCCCGAGCUUAACUUGGGAAUUGCAUUCGAUACUGGUGAGCUAGAGUAUGGGAGAGGAUGGUAGAAUUCCAGGUGUAGCGGUGAAAUGCGUAGAGAUCUGGAGGAAUACCGAUGGCGAAGGCAGCCAUCUGGCCUAAUACUGACGCUGAGGUACGAAAGCAUGGGGAGCAAACAGGAUUAGAUACCCUGGUAGUCCAUGCCGUAAACGAUGUCUACUAGCCGUUGGGGCCUUUGAGGCUUUAGUGGCGCAGCUAACGCGAUAAGUAGACCGCCUGGGGAGUACGGUCGCAAGACUAAAACUCAAAUGAAUUGACGGGGGCCCGCACAA